AAAACAUUUCUUCUUUUUAAUACAUGAAGUAAGCCCUGUUCCAUGAAUUUUAAAUAACCGCAAAAUUUAAUUGUGCAAAGGUAGCAUAAUAAUUUUCUUUUUAAUUGAAAGGUUGGAUGAAUGGGUAAACAAGAUACUUACUGUGUUUAUACGAAUAAAGAAAUUUACUAAGAAGUGAAAAUGCUUUUUUAAUUUAAAGGGACGACAAGACCCUGGGAACUUAUUAUAUAUAUGAAAACCUUUAAAAUAUUUUUAGCUGGGGUGGCAAUUAUUUAAAACAAAAAUUAAACAAUACACAUGUGUGAAUUUUUUGACGGUAACUUGAAUAAAAAGAACUAAGUUACCCCAGGGAUAACAGCACAAUAACUUUUAAGAGCUCUUAUCUAAGAAGUUUGUUGUGACCUCGAUGUUGAAUUAAAUAUACCACUUGGAGUAGCAGAUAAAUGGGUGAGUUUGUUCAACUCUUAAAUGUUUACGUGAUCUG
RNAcentral lists this ribosomal RNA (484 nucleotides) under Anilocra longicauda. RNAcentral's name for it is "partial 16S ribosomal RNA". It matches the Rfam family "Bacterial large subunit ribosomal RNA", at positions 1810 to 2607 of the family's 2925-position model. The record is from RNAcentral. Lineage: Eukaryota; Metazoa; Arthropoda; Malacostraca; Isopoda; Cymothoidae.